CAGGGCUUUUCGGAAAAUGCUAUACAGUAUUCUAUGAUAGGGUAUCAUGGGAUAUUGCAAACCGCAAAUGCCGUAAGCGCAGUGAAUAUCUUGUUACAAUAGCAUCACGAAUGGAAAUGAAUUACAUACAAUACCUUCUACGUAUUGAGUUUUAUGAUGUGUUCCCUGCUUGGUACAGAAACACUCAAAACGUACUUCAUGGAGCACAUAUUGGCUUAAGAAGACUUACGGACAAAAACAAGAAGACAAGUUUUAAUUGGGUCAACGGCAACAGCGUUACAUUCACUGCAUGGGAAAGCGGACAACCUGCAAUAACAGAUUGUACCCGUACGUUAUUCAAGUAUUUCAAUACCGAAGCACUUUGGGGGACAGAAGAUUGUUUGCAUAAUAAGGUCGGAUUUUACAUCUGUGAGAAACCGUUUUUAGAGGACGGAAAUAUCU
Molecule: long non-coding RNA, 441 nt
Organism: Ruditapes philippinarum (Manila clam)
Lineage: Eukaryota; Metazoa; Mollusca; Bivalvia; Venerida; Veneridae
Exons: 3
Source: RefSeq, a predicted model, not a curated record